AGAAGCUUGCUUCUCUGAUGUUAGCGGCGGACGACGUGAGUAACACGUGGAUAACCUACCUAUAAGACUGGGAUAACUUCGGGAAACCGGAGCUAAUACCGGAUAAUAUUUUGAACCGCAUGGUUCAAAAGUGAAAGACGGUCUUGCUGUCACUUAUAGAUGGAUCCGCGCUGCAUUAGCUAGUUGGUAAGGUAACGGCUUACCAAGGCAACGAUGCAUAGCCGACCUGAGAGGGUGAUCGGCCACACUGGAACUGAGACACGGUCCAGACUCCUACGGGAGGCAGCAGUAGGGAAUCUUCCGCAAUGGGCGAAAGCCUGACGGAGCAACGCCGCGUGAGUGAUGAAGGUCUUCGGAUCGUAAAACUCUGUUAUUAGGGAAGAACAUAUGUGUAAGUAACUGUGCACAUCUUGACGGUACCUAAUCAGAAAGCCACGGCUAACUACGUGCCAGCAGCCGCGGUAAUACGUAGGUGGCAAGCGUUAUCCGGAAUUAUUGGGCGUAAAGCGCGCGUAGGCGGUUUUUUAAGUCUGAUGUGAAAGCCCACGGCUCAACCGUGGAGGGUCAUUGGAAACUGGAAAACUUGAGUGCAGAAGAGGAAAGUGGAAUUCCAUGUGUAGCGGUGAAAUGCGCAGAGAUAUGGAGGAACACCAGUGGCGAAGGCGACUUUCUGGUCUGUAACUGACGCUGAUGUGCGAAAGCGUGGGGAUCAAACAGGAUUAGAUACCCUGGUAGUCCACGCCGUAAACGAUGAGUGCUAAGUGUUAGGGGGUUUCCGCCCCUUAGUGCUGCAGCUAACGCAUUAAGC
RNAcentral lists this ribosomal RNA (808 nucleotides) under Staphylococcus aureus. RNAcentral's name for it is "bacterial SSU rRNA". It matches the Rfam family "Bacterial small subunit ribosomal RNA", at positions 74 to 865 of the family's 1533-position model. Lineage: Bacteria; Bacillati; Bacillota; Bacilli; Caryophanales; Staphylococcaceae. The record is from RNAcentral.